Molecule: ribosomal RNA, 339 nt
Filed under: uncultured bacterium
Lineage: Bacteria
Description: bacterial SSU rRNA
Rfam family: Bacterial small subunit ribosomal RNA
Source: RNAcentral
GACGUGACUUCAGAGUUUGAUCCUGGCUCAGGACGAACGCUGGCGGCGUGCCUAACACAUGCAAGUCGAACGGGGUGAUUUCCUUCGGGGGAUCACUUAGUGGCGAACGGGUGAGUAACGCGUGAGGAACCUGCCUUCCAGUGGGGGACAACAGUUGGAAACGACUGCUAAUACCGCAUAAUGUAGCGAGACCGCAUGAUCUUGCUACCAAAGCUUUAUGUGCUGGAAGAUGGCCUCGCGUCUGAUUAGCUAGUUGGUGGGGUAACGGCCCACCAAGGCGACGAUCAGUAGCCGGUCUGAGAGGAUGAACGGCCACAUUGGGACUGAGAUACGGCCCAG